UGCCACAGUCAUAUCACCCUGCAGCCACUGAGAGUGGUUACUCACUGAAGCUAAGCAGGGCUGAGCUUGGUAAGUACCUGGAUGGGAGACCACAUGGGAAAGCUGUUAGAGAGGCCA
Ribosomal RNA from Danio rerio (zebrafish), 117 nucleotides. Lineage: Eukaryota; Metazoa; Chordata; Actinopteri; Cypriniformes; Danionidae. The record is from Ensembl.